This is an RNA transcript of Helicoverpa zea (corn earworm), 3228 nucleotides long. It is a transcript of the gene named toll-interacting protein B-like, with no coding region annotated. The transcript is spliced from 9 exons. NCBI's taxonomy places the organism in Eukaryota, Metazoa, Arthropoda, Insecta, Lepidoptera, Noctuidae. The record is from RefSeq and is a predicted model, not a curated record.
GUCAAAUUAUUUCGUGACGUCUCUGACUCUCGCUCGUAUUUGUUUGCACAAAAUUUCGCGAUAAUAUUAUAUCAAAUAUAUUUUCCUCUUUCUGUAGAUUAAUACAGCAUAAUUCAGCAAACAUGACUUCGACAAUGCCGACAGAAGAGCGUCGCCGAAGGGUGCUCUUAGGCCCCCUUCCUGCAGGCUUCCUCCGUGCAGAUGGAGCUACGGACACUGUUGAUGCAGAUUACCAGGCAGCCCUCGCUCUUCAACAGCAGUUAUGUGGUGCUCAAGUACCACCUGCUGGUCCCCCUUUGACAGCAAGGUUGAGCAUCACGAUAGCACAGGCUAAACUAUCUAAAAAUUAUGGUCUAACACGUAUGGACCCGUACGUGCGGCUGCGCGUGGGGCACUGCAUAUACGAGACUCACACCGACCCCAGCGGCGGUAGGACGCCCAGGUGGAACAAGGUUAUUCACUGUUUGCUGCCCCCCGGCGUGAACUCCAUUUACCUGGAGAUCUUCGACGAAUGCUCGUUCACAAUGGACGAGCUGGUCGCUUGGGCACAUAUCACCAUACCACCAGCUGUUUUACAAGGAGAAACAUUUGACAAUUGGUUUGCUCUCAAUGGCAAACAAGGAGAUGGCAAGGAGGGUGUAAUCAACCUGGUCCUCAGUUACUCUGUGGGCCCAGCAGCGGUAGCAACAUUCCCCCCCAUGCUAGUGGUGCCCAGCACCGGCAUGGGUUACGCCGCCAUGCCGAUGUACCCCGCACCGCAGCCGCAUAUGCAGCAACAACAGCAAAUGCAACAGAUGCAACCGCCUCCCAUCACUGCUGAGCAGUUGCAACAGAUCGAAGAAAUGUUCCCGAGCAUGGAUAAGGAAGUCAUAAAAUCAGUUUUGGAAGCCAACGGCGGUAACAAGGAUGCCACUAUAAACUCACUGUUGCAAAUGUCGGAAUAAUAUCACUAUAUACACAGUACGUAUCAUGACAUGUUAUAUAUACAAUAUACACUCGCAUAUUGCAUUAUAUUGACGUUUAGUCAACAAUAUUUAAUAACGUAUAGGUAUAUUGUUAAAAUGAGAUUCAACUUUCAAGCAUGUAUUUCAGGGUGUUUCUAAAGGCCGAAUACUGAAACGCCACUUCAUUUUAAGCACUGUUUAAACAUCAUAUAACCCUGUCACGCUUAUGAAUGUUUCUGCAACACAUUUAAGUUCAAUAACGUUUUAGAAGAAGGUUAUAGUUAUAGCCUAUAUUAACUUGGUGCGCGGAGUACUUGAUGCGGGCUGUCGGUGAAACCGCUGUGGCAGUUUCUCAACCUUCUACUUAAAAUUGUGUGGCGUUUAAAUAUUCGACCAUUAUUCAAAUACACCUUCAUAAUUUGUUAUCCAAAAUAUUUCUACAACAACUGGGCAGAAAUCCGUAAAUCACGUAGUUUGCACAUAUAUGUACUAAAAAUACUCUUAUCACCUCGUAUAAUUAAUUGUUUAAUUAAAACGCAUAAUUCCCCAAUUUAAUAUUUUGUAUAAAAACAGUAGCUCGCUUUUGAUUAGGAAAAGCAAUUUUGCAAGCGUUAUCUAAAUUUUAAAACUACGGAUUUCAGCCCAGUUUUUUAUAAGGUGACUGAUACUUGAACACAUGAUUACAAACAGCUUUCCCAAAGGAACUUUUUUAUAUUCAUUGGUUUAAUCGAAAUAACAGCUGUUUCAAACUUUGAACUUCACUCCAAAUUUUUAUUUUAUUUAUUUAUUCAUUUAAAUCAGGCAUCAAGGCCCCUAGAACACACUAUAAGUACAUAAAUAUUAUAACAUUAAAUCAUAUACUAAUACAUAUUUUAUAUAAACUACUUAAAACUAGUGCACACGAAGUAUUGGCAUCGUGUUACGCUGCGAGGUGUCGCGUAGCCUUCCUCGGAACCUCCGAUAUACGACACCCUUCGGCCAAAACUCUUCCUUGAAGGAAGGUGUCGAUGUGAUGAGUUGUAAACAGGUGUUUUGGCUAAGUCAUGAAUUAAUAAAAGUUUCUCUGGAAAAGUUUUUUAUAAUCAUGAGUAGAAUCACAUGUUCAAUUGUAAGUCACUAAUAACCAGUCACCCUAUAUAAUUCCUAAGUAAGAGCAACUGUAAAGGCCAAUUCAAGAGUAUUGAGAAACACUCAUUUUUACUAAUUUCAGCAGUACUGAAAACGUUCAUAAACAUACUGUAUAACUUAUGUGAAGAAAAAUCUAGAAAUUUAAAGCUUUCGGCCUUAUUUUAGAAGCUGUAAGCAAUUUGAUACUAAAGUAUUGUACAUAAUGUUUUAAUCGACUAUGAAAAUGUGGUGCAUUCGUUCCAUCGCGUUAUUUUACUGAGAAAUUACCUGCACUGUUUUUGUAAGAUGUUCGGUGUAUAGAAAACCUUCAAAACUAUUCUUAUUGUUACUGUAAAACUGUUUUUUAUAUGGCAUACUAUUCUAUUUAGAUUUUUUUUUGCUCAAAAUUGCCAAUUUAAUUUUUAUUUUAAGUUAUUCCAAUUAUUAUGUGUUUAGUAUCUAGAUUGAUUACUAUUAUUGUGAUUUCUGUUAUAUUUUAAUUUUAAGUAAAUAAAACUAAACAUUUGGCACGUUAAAUGCUAGUAAACUUGCAAAAAUCUAUAAUAUCUAAGAUAAAAAUUAUUAUAUAUUAAGGAAUGUCCUACUAUUCUAAAUAUACAUAGUAUAAAUAUCUACUUAAUCAUUAUUUAAUUGAAAUAUAAAAUCUUCAUAAUUUUGCAAUGUUUUUUAAGCUUUUGUGUCAUUUGUUACAAUUAUGUUAUCUAAUAGUUGUAGUUAAGGUGCUUUUAGAAGAGCGAUUUCAAACUAGCAGAUUUUCACGAAAAAACCUGCGAGUUUGAAAACGCUGUAAACGUUAUUUUUUCAUUUUUAUCUCGCUAGUUUCAAUAAGAGAUUCUCUUUAUUCAAAUCAUGAAACACUUUUAUAGUGGAAGUUUAUUUUUGUUUUUUAUUGGAUCAAUCUAUCCUAUUCUGCAGAACAAAUGUGUAAGUUACGAGAACUAAAAUAAUUAUUACAUUGUAUUCAUUCGUAAAAGUAUGACACUUAUACUUAAAAAGGUAAACUGUAUAGCUCCGGCCUUACACGCGAAAGCUUAUACAAUUUUGUGCCAAAUUAUUUGCCAUCGUCGCAACAUUGCUUGAAUAUAAAUAUAUCAUUGUUGUAUUUAUUUGUAAUUUUACAAUGUAUUAUAAAAUGUAAUAAAUUAUUAACUACUUA